UGCUGGAGGUAUCAGAAGUGCGAAUGCUGACAUAAGUAACGAUAAAGCGGGUGAAAAGCCCGCUCGCCGGAAGACCAAGGGUUCCUGUCCAACGUUAAUCGGGGCAGGGUGAGUCGACCCCUAAGGCGAGGCCGAAAGGCGUAGUCGAUGGGAAACGGGUUAAUAUUCCCGUACUUGGUGUUACUGCGAAGGGGGGACGGAGAAGGCUAUGUUGGCCGGGCGACGGUUGUCCCGGUUUAAGCGUGUAGGUGUGUGUUCCAGGUAAAUCCGGUUCACUUUAACACUGAGGCGUGAYGACGAGGCACUACGGUGCUGAAGCAACAAAUGCCCUGCUUCCAGGAAAAGCCUCUAAGCAUCAGGUAACAUCAAAUCGUACCCCAAACCGACACAGGUGGUCAGGUAGAGAAUACCAAGGCGCUUGAGAGAACUCGGGUGAAGGAACUAGGCAAAAUGGUGCCGUAACUUCGGGAGAAGGCACGCUGACACGUAGGUGAAGUGAUUUACUCAYGGAGCUGAAGUCAGUCGAAGAUACCAGCUGGCUGCAACUGUUUAUUAAAAACACAGCACUGUGCAAACACGAAAGUGGACGUAUACGGUGUGACGCCUGCCCGGUGCCGGAAGGUUAAUUGAUGGGGUCAGCGCAAGCGAAGCUCCUGAUCGAAGCCCCGGUAAACGGCGGCCGUAACUAUAACGGUCCUAAGGUAGCGAAAUUCCUUGUCGGGUAAGUUCCGACCUGCACGAAUGGCGUAAUGAUGGCCAGGCUGUCUCCACCCGAGACUCAGUGAAAUUGAACUCGCUGUGAAGAUGCAGUGUACCCGCGGCAAGACGGAAAGACCCCGUGAACCUUUACUAUAGCUUGACACUGAACAUUGAGCCUUGAUGUGUAGGAUAGGUGGGAGGCUUUGAAGUGUGGACGCCAGUCUGCAUGGAGCCGRCCUUGAAAUACCACCCUUUAAUGUUUGAUGUUCUAACGUGGACCCGUGAUCCGGGUUGCGGACAGUGUCUGGUGGGUAGUUUGACUGGGGCGGUCUCCUCCUAAAGAGUAACGGAGGAGCACGAAGGUUGGCUAACUGGUGUUCGGGUUGUCAUGCCAAUGGCACUGCCCGGUAGCUAAAUGCGGAAGAGAUAAGUGCUGAAAGCAUCUAAGCACGAAACUUGCCCCGAGAUGAGUUCUCCCUGAGACUUAGAGUCUCCUGAAGGAACGUUGAAGACGACGACGUUGAUAGGCCGGGUGUGUAAGCGCAGCGAUGCGUUGAGCUAACCGGUACUAAUGAACCGUGAGGCUUAACCUU
Molecule: ribosomal RNA, 1292 nt
Filed under: Salmonella enterica
Lineage: Bacteria; Pseudomonadati; Pseudomonadota; Gammaproteobacteria; Enterobacterales; Enterobacteriaceae
Description: partial 23S ribosomal RNA
Source: RNAcentral